CACGGGGGGAGCAAGCGUUGUUCGGAAUCACUGGGCGUAAAGGGCGUGUAGGCGGUUCGGUAAGUGGGAUGUGAAAGCCCCCGGCUCACCCGGGGAUCUGCAUUCCAAACUGCCAGACUUGAGUAUGGGAGAGGAUAGGGGAAUUCCUGGUGUAGCGGUGAAAUGCGUAGAUAUCAGGAGGAACACCGGUGGCGAAGGCGCCUAUCUGGCCCAAUACUGACGCUGAGGCGCGAAAGCUAGGGGAGCAAACGGG
Molecule: ribosomal RNA, 253 nt
Filed under: uncultured bacterium
Lineage: Bacteria
Description: partial 16S ribosomal RNA
Rfam family: Bacterial small subunit ribosomal RNA
Source: RNAcentral